UACGUAGGGCGCAAGCGUUGUCCGGAAUUACUGGGCGUAAAGCGCACGUAGGUGGCUUUGCAAGUCGAUUGUGAAAUCCCCGGGCUUAACCUGGGAACUGCAGUCGAGACUGCUUUGCUUGAGUAUGGGAGAGGGAGGUGGAAUUUCCGGUGUAGCGGUGAAAUGCGUAGAUAUCGGAAGGAACAUCAGUGGCGAAGGCGACCUCCUGGACCAAUACUGACACUCAAGUGCGAAAGCGUGGGGAGCAAACAGG
RNAcentral lists this ribosomal RNA (253 nucleotides) under uncultured bacterium. RNAcentral's name for it is "partial 16S ribosomal RNA". It matches the Rfam family "Bacterial small subunit ribosomal RNA", at positions 524 to 776 of the family's 1533-position model. The record is from RNAcentral.